Molecule: long non-coding RNA, 930 nt
Organism: Rhipicephalus microplus (southern cattle tick)
Lineage: Eukaryota; Metazoa; Arthropoda; Arachnida; Ixodida; Ixodidae
Source: RefSeq, a predicted model, not a curated record
CGCCGCCACCGGAUGAAACGGACGGGCAGGAGAGCCGUGUUUGGGGCAGUGCGGCCUCCGAGACGACACCAAGUCACGGAGGUCAUCGGAGAGUUCCGCAGGACACUGAAGGCCGCCGUCAGAACACUGGCAGCCAGACGCCGGGAACUGCAGGACUACCCUUCAAGUUUAAGAGAGGAGGCCGCUGAACUGGAAGGAUAAUCCACCCUACAGAAGACAGAGGUUGGAGAGAAGAUGUGCCCACAGGUCGUGUUGGAGAGUGAUGUGGCCAGGGAAGAGCGCCUCAGCUGUGUCGAGUCCACCAGUAAGCAACUGCCCAGGUCGGCUCACAGCGGCGACGUCGCCCCUCUGGACAACUGCCAGUGGAGUGUGCAUUCUGCCGCCGUCUCGGCGAGACUCGAUCGUUUGCACGUACGCACAUACUGCGUGACCCCCUGACCAAUGCCGUGGUGUGCCCGAUCCUGCGCGAUUAUCGGUGCGAGAUAUGCGGUGCCACUGGUGAUAAGAGCCACACGCGAUCUUACUGCCCCAUGAGGCCAGAGGGCACGUAUAACAUGGCGCUUCUCAAGAGCACUCCCCGCAAUAGCACGAGCAAGAGAAAGAAAUGACUUUAUGGCUCUGUUCACGGGCUGCUGUGUGACGUGUUUUUUGUUCAUCAUGAUUUACACUUUAUACAUUAGCAUUUAUUUUCCUAAUCACUUUAUUACAACCCAAGUCUUUCCAUCACCACUGACUGGAUUUUGAUCUCUCAAUUUACUCUAUAUUGUAUUUACCAUUCAUUCCAGUACAAUCUUCCAGUUACCUUAACAGUGUUAUGUAUAUGUGCCCUAUGUGCCCAUGCUCUCCGACACUUCUAUUUUUUGUUGAGAACACCAGCACAAAAUUUUGGAAAACGUAGACAAAUAAAGAUGAACACAAUAGAGACCAAUG